AUUAAAAAAUUUAUUUUAUAAAUUAAUUUAUUUUGUAUUAAUUAAAAAAUUUUAAGUUUUAUUAUUAUUCUUAUUAAAAAAUAUUAUUAAUUAUAGUUUAAAGUAUUGAAAAAAAAUAAAAAUAAAUUUUUAAAAGAAAAUUUUAAUUAUUGUACCUUGUGUAUCAGGGUUUAUUAAAUUUAGUUUAAUUAUUUUAAUAGUCUCGAAUUUAAAAGAUCUAAGUAAAUAUAUAUAUUAUUGUAAAAUAAAUAUUUAAAAUAUUUAUUUAGUAAUGAAAUGUUAAGCGUUUUUAAAUAUAUCUAGUUUUUUAAGAAAUAAAUUUAAUUUACAAAUUAAUUUAUUAUAGUUUUAUUUUAUUAAUAUUAUAAUUAUUAAUUUUUUAUAUUUAAGGGGAUAAGCUUUUAAAUAAAAUUUUAAAAAUUAAUUUAUUAAAAAUAAUAUAUAGAAUUAGAAUUUUUUAUUUUUAAAAUAAUGUUAUAAUUAAUUAUUUAAUUGAAUAUAAUAUUUAUAUUAAUUUUAAGUUUUUUAUUAAAAAAAUAAUUUUUUUUAUAAAAAUUAUUAUAUAAUGAUAAAAUUAGUAUAAUUUAAUUUAAAUUUAUAUUUAUUUAUAAAAUUAAUAUUAAGGAAUUCGGCAAAAUAUUUUUUACCUGUUUAUUAAAAACAUGUCUUUUUGAAUUUAAUUUAAAGUCUGACCUGCUCAAUGAAUUUAGUUUAAAUAGCCGCAGUAUUUUGACUGUGCAAAGGUAGCAUAAUCAUUAGUUUUUUAAUUAAAAGCUGGAAUGAAGGGUUUGAUAAAAAAAUAACUGUCUCAAUAUUAUUGAAUUAGAAAUUUAUUUUUAAGUAAAAAAGCUUAAAUUUUUUAAAAAGACGAGAAGACCCUAUAGAGUUUAAUAUAAAAUUUAAUUAUGUUUUUUAGAAUUUAAUAAGUUAAUUAAUAAUUUAUAUUUUAUUGGGGUGAUAAAAAAAUUAAAUAAACUUUUAUAAAAAAAAAUAUUAAUGAAUAAUUAAAUGAUCCUAAAUUUUAGAUUAUAAGAAAUAAUUACCUUAGGGAUAACAGCGUAAUUUUUUUAAAGAGUUCAAAUCGAAAAAAGAGAUUGCGACCUCGAUGUUGGAUUAAAGAAAAUUUUUAAUGUAGAAGUUAAAAUUAUAGGUCUGUUCGACCUUUAAAUCUUUACAUGAUCUGAGUUUAAACCGGUGUAAGCCAGGUUGGAUUCUAUCUUUUAAUAUAAAUUAAUAUUUUAGUACGAAAGGACCAAAUAUUAAAAUAAAAUUUUAUUUUUGAAUUAAUUU
This 1290-nucleotide ribosomal RNA is filed under the name Schizotus pectinicornis. RNAcentral describes it as "16S ribosomal RNA". The stretch from base 1050 to 1208 matches the Rfam family "Archaeal large subunit ribosomal RNA", at positions 2544 to 2703 of the family's 2987-position model. The record is from RNAcentral. Lineage: Eukaryota; Metazoa; Arthropoda; Insecta; Coleoptera; Pyrochroidae.